GAUGAACGCUGGCGGCGUGCCUAAUACAUGCAAGUCGAGCGAACAGAUGAGAAGCUUGCUUCUCUGAUGUUAGCGGCGGACGGGUGAGUAACACGUGGGUAACCUACCUAUAAGCGGGGGAUAACAUUCGGAAACGGGUGCUAAUACCGCAUAAUAUCUUCUUCCGCAUGGAAGAAGAUUGAAAGACGGCUCUGCUGUCACUUAUAGAUGACCUUGCGGUGCAUUAGUUAGUUGGUGGGGUAAUGGCCUACCAAGACGAUGAUGCAUAGCCGACCUGAGAGGGUGAUCGGCCACAUUGGGACUGAGACACGGCCCAAACUCCUACGGGAGGCAGCAGUAGGGAAUCUUCCGCAAUGGGCGAAAGCCUGACGGAGCAAUGCCGCGUGAGUGAAGAAGGCCUUCGGGUCGUAAAACUCUGUUAUAAGAGAAGAACAAAUUGUAGAGUAACUGCUACAGUCUUGACGGUAUCUUAUCAGAAAGCCACGGCUAACUACGUGCCAGCCGCCGCCAUAA
RNAcentral lists this ribosomal RNA (513 nucleotides) under uncultured bacterium. RNAcentral describes it as "partial 16S ribosomal RNA". It matches the Rfam family "Bacterial small subunit ribosomal RNA", at positions 28 to 523 of the family's 1533-position model. The record is from RNAcentral.